This is a long non-coding RNA of Drosophila arizonae, 109 nucleotides long. NCBI's taxonomy places the organism in Eukaryota, Metazoa, Arthropoda, Insecta, Diptera, Drosophilidae. The record is from RefSeq and is a predicted model, not a curated record.
AAAAAUGACUUUGAUGGAAUUUCGAAUUGAAUUUGGUUAUGGGGGCAUCUCAAAGAUGCGCUUUGAUAUGAGCUUUGAAAAAGUUCAGCUGAAACUGUGAGCCAGGGCG